This is a long non-coding RNA of Impatiens glandulifera, 423 nucleotides long. RefSeq lists it as uncharacterized. The transcript has 2 exons. NCBI's taxonomy places the organism in Eukaryota, Viridiplantae, Streptophyta, Magnoliopsida, Ericales, Balsaminaceae. The record is from RefSeq and is a predicted model, not a curated record.
UUUAAGCAGUUGAGAGAAAAAGGGAAGGAUGAUCGCAGAGAAAUCUCUUUCUUCUUCUUUUACCGAGAGCGAUUCAAAAUGGGGGACGUAAUAUAUACUCUCAGAUCUGUGGACUCUAAUUUGAAUCCGAUUUGUGCGAUAAUCGGACUCGUCUUCUCUCUCUCUUCUCAACGACCGUAACGUCGUCCUUAAAUGCGCCGAAAUUCAGAAUACCAGAUCUGAAGGUUUGCAUAUGGUCGACGAUAUAUUUCAUCUCCAACCUCGUUGUACUUUUUGGCUGAAGUCGUUGAUUGACACUUCUAUGGUUUUUCCUCGAUUUUGUUGACAUAGGUAUUUUCUUCGUUCAUUAUUAGUAUGAUAAUGAGAACUUGUGAUUUUGGAACUUGACAAAUAUUAAGUAUAAAAGAAUACUUCAUUUCUGCA